RNAcentral lists this non-coding RNA (26 nucleotides) under Cricetulus griseus (Chinese hamster). Lineage: Eukaryota; Metazoa; Chordata; Mammalia; Rodentia; Cricetidae. The record is from RNAcentral.
UGAAAAGACAGGAGGUGUAGAAGCUG